This 1015-nucleotide unclassified non-coding RNA is filed under the name Hevea brasiliensis (rubber tree). Lineage: Eukaryota; Viridiplantae; Streptophyta; Magnoliopsida; Malpighiales; Euphorbiaceae. The record is from RNAcentral.
CAAAUAUUUACAUUACAUAGUAGCCUAUUCACCUUAGAACAAACAUUGUAAUUAAGAAAAGCUCCAAUAUCCUAAAGAAAGAAUUGUCAGAGUGAAUCAAUUGCUUAACAUCCAAAGAAGGGUCAAAAGCAAUCAGGGAGGUGCAGACCAUGUAAACACCAUUCAGCUUCCAGGUACAUUCUCCUUUUUCUCACCCUCGCAACCAUGUGUUUCUGUAUGACGAGUUAUCACGCAGAGACGCAUCGUGGGGUUUGUAUUCCAUUACAUACCCAUGCGGGAGCUUUAAGUGCCUUUUGAUUGAAUCUCGCAGACCCAUCACCGCCUGAUGAUCAGAUGCAUUGCGGUUCCAGACGCUCAAAAUAUCCUCGUUGAAACGAAUGCUAAGCACGGCACCACAUAUGUUAUCGCCAAAAUCAAGUUGGUCGCCCACUAAUGCAAGAACCAAAUCUUCCCAAAAUCGCCCAGAUACAACUUUCUUAAAUCGUAUUAUCCACUUUCCACCAUUGCAGUUCGCAGAAUCCUCCCAGAGUGGACGGAUUCCUUCCUUAAAGAGAUGCAGAUCUGUUGGGCUUGGCAAAGAAGAAGGACGAGCCAAAUGGCAAUAGCUUACCCAAAAACCUUCAACCGAGCUGAAGUCCACGAUCUUUUUUAUGUUGUCCUCAUAUGACGUUUGAGUCCGAACUCCAGGUGUUCGACGAGUGUACCAAAAUGCAAACUUGUGCUUUAGGGGAUGAAGGCCAUCUUUGAGGUCUCGAGCUACGCGUUCACUUAACUCUUCAGCUUCUUUGGCAUUUGUGUCAUCAGCGGCUGAGGGUUGAUAAGAAGAAUCAAGAAGUGGUUGAGCAGAGUUGAGCUUCUUGUUGUCGUUUGAAGAAUCAAAAUCCCUCUUCUCGCUUACCAACUCCAUUGACAGCUUCUUCUUCCGAUUUCGUAUGCCCUAAAAUUUGCUUUUGUCACCAACUUUGUGCGUCCGCGAUACUGCAAAUUCAGCAAACCGACACAGAACCGGAGAGGG